CACCGCCACGGUAAUACAGAGGGUGCGAGCGUUAAUCGGGUUUACUGGGCGUAAAGCGUGCGUAGGCGGCUUCUUAAGUCGGAUGUGAAAUCCCUGAGCUUAACUUAGGAAUUGCAUUCGAUACUGGGAAGCUAGAGUAUGGGAGAGGAUGGUAGAAUUCCAGGUGUAGCGGUGAAAUGCGUAGAGAUCUGGAGGAAUACCGAUGGCGAAGGCAGCCAUCUGGCCUAAUACUGACGCUGAGGUACGAAAGCAUGGGGAGCAAACAGGAUUAGAUACCCCUGUAGUCCCUGUCUCUUAUACA
RNAcentral lists this ribosomal RNA (301 nucleotides) under uncultured bacterium. RNAcentral's name for it is "partial 16S ribosomal RNA". It matches the Rfam family "Bacterial small subunit ribosomal RNA", at positions 509 to 808 of the family's 1533-position model. The record is from RNAcentral.